Molecule: ribosomal RNA, 609 nt
Filed under: Triticum aestivum (bread wheat)
Lineage: Eukaryota; Viridiplantae; Streptophyta; Magnoliopsida; Poales; Poaceae
Description: partial small subunit ribosomal RNA
Source: RNAcentral
AUGGAGUACCGAGCGCGGUCCGAUGAGGCGUGGUACGGCGCGCGCGUGGUGGUGCAGCAAGGCUUGCUCCGCGUCAUGUUCGAGAAUUCCACCGAGGAUGCGGACGAGUGGUACGAUCCAGGGGCUGACUUCGCAUCCCCGGGCGACGUGGACGCGCUCCGCGCCAGGUUCCGCCGGGAAUGCCUGGCCCUCGACGACGCCCGCUGCGGGGAUCUCCGCCCGGGAGACAAGCUCUGCCUCGCCUACUAUAUCCACGGCGAAGUCGAGGAGCUCAAGUACUACGACGCCGUCCUCGAAACCGUAGAGAGGGCAGAGCACGGCGUGGAGGGGUGCGCGUGCCGUUUCACGGUCCGCUGGACGGAGGGGCCGCGUAGCGGUUGCUUGGACAAGGUCGGCAUCAAGGUGGUCUGCUGCGUGCCGGAGUCACCGAUCCAAGAUCCGGUGCUGAGCGAGUUCCUGGACGAUCUGACAAAGAAGUUCGGCGAGGACCAAGGGACGGCGACGGCAGCGUCUCAGCAGGCAGCCCCGACCCCGAUCAGCGACAGCGAGGAGGAAUUGUGCCGGUACAGUCUCGCAUACUCCUCGAGUAGUAGUCUUUUCGUCUUGUAA